GGGCUUGUGGUUUAGUGGUAUAAUACUCCCUUAGCACGUGACCGACGAUGAUGAGGAUUCAUCUCAUGGAUGGAUUACUAACUUGUUCGGUUCGUCUUAAUUUGGGAGUGGUCCGGGGUUCGAUUCCCCGCGAGUCCA
Hypoxylon trugodes is the source of this 138-nucleotide non-coding RNA. Lineage: Eukaryota; Fungi; Ascomycota; Sordariomycetes; Xylariales; Hypoxylaceae. The record is from the annotation of a RefSeq genome assembly.